This is a non-coding RNA of Rhopilema esculentum, 2263 nucleotides long. The record is from RefSeq and is a predicted model, not a curated record. Lineage: Eukaryota; Metazoa; Cnidaria; Scyphozoa; Rhizostomeae; Rhizostomatidae.
UCAAGUUCUGUUGUUUUCGACCAGUGCGAUCUUAUUUAACGUGCAGAGGAAACGGAGCCAAAGAGAUGCAAACUGUUUGUGCAAUGUGUAAUGUUAAACUGUAUCCUUUUAACCCUUACAGUUAUUUCAAGAUCAAAGAAAAUAUUAAAUUUGACGCCCCUUUUUCUGGGCAGGUGUUCCCCGCAUGUUUCGGAAUUCCAGAACAUGUGUUUCAUCAGAAUUUGAUUAUAACAUAUACUUCUUUUCUAUUUUUUCAGAUGUUGUUUAUGCAAGUCUGUUUGGUGGUUCCUCUAUAUUGUAUGUUUUGCACGUUUCAAUAUUUGGAAAAGAAAAUUUACGUGACCUGAUGAUAUCUUCUGAGGAAGCAAAGGGAUGAAGGUAUGCAAUAGUCGUCAGAGCUUCACGAGACUACGCCAUGUUUACUGAGUCAAAAUUUUUUUAUUAAGCCUUUUGUACCGCAAAUUUGAAAAUACCACAGAAAAUCAGAGACAUGCCAUAUUCAAGUACUUUUUGUUGGAAAAUGUCCACAUCUGGAUAUACAUAAUUUGUGAACACCUUUGGACAUUAUCCGAGUUUAUACUCAGACGAGUGUCGGACGAACAUUUUCCCUCUUUUCCAUGCUAUUUUCAAAUUUGCUUAUUGCUUUUGAAGUCAGGGUGGCAAGAUGUUGACAUUAAGAUUUGAUUUACAUUUCAAUACAUCAUUCACAAAACAACCCGCAGAGCAGGUUGUAAAAUCUGAGGAAUGAAUGUUUGAUUGACGAAGGAGGAACAAGAAAGCCACCUGCAGAGCUUUAACAUCAGCAAGUACUGAAAAGUUGACAAAAGAAUUGGAUAAAUAUAUGCAGGGCAAAUGAUGCAAGGAAUAUUAAAAUCAUGACAUUCUGUAUAGUCCAUCAUUUCAACUAAGAAUCUAUGAGCUGCUGUAAGAGAAAGAGAGUGUAACAAGCCUAGUUUGUUAGUUGUGAUUCAAUCGACAUCAGACAAUUUCACAGAACUGUUGCCUGGAUUUCUUCUGUCCCAACCUCAGCCUAGCAAAUAUGAUGUUGUAUGCAUGUUUAAUAGCAGUUGUGAUUAUACAAGUUGAUUAUUCAGCUGGACUAAACUGUUGGGAUUGUGAAAGUGACAUGGAUUGGAGCAAAUGCAAGUUGCUCAAGACAAAAGAGUGCGUUUGGCCACAGACAAGAUGUGGCAAAUUCUAUACCAAACAGGGAGCUGUGGAGACAUACAGACGUGAUUGCUUUACGGAGGAGUAUUGCCGCGUGAAGCCGCAAUGCACAUCGCAGUUUUCAAAAUGCGAAAUUAGCUGCUGCGAAGGAGAUGCCUGUAAUGCAGCUAAUGUUGCAACCAUUCCGUUGUGGUUGUGCGUAUUAUCAGCCAUUGGUAUUUACCUAAUAUUCUGUCUGCAGCAAUAUUGAGAAGCAAAGAACAGAUAACACUGCCAAUUUAUUAUAUCUCUGUUUUUUGAAUCUAUAAAUAUUAAUGUAAAUAGCAAGUGACGACCUGCAUUUAGGGAGUGUCAUUUUUAACCCUGGGCCUCAGGGUGGAAGAAUUCCUGAGGGGUAUGAAAUUCUUUAGCCUUGUUUUAUAUUGUUAUCAUAUUAUGUUCACUUAUUUCUUAUGGGGUUAUCAACCUUUUCAAGUACAUCUCCACCGAGGUAUAAUUUGGACAUCUUCCAAAAAACAAUGGCUAUUUUUUUGCAGUGAUAUAUAACAGUGCGAUUUUGCUAAAGGAUAUUGAUAACAAAAUUUAUUUGGUGUACUAAAACAUUAGCUAGUGCAGAUUGGAAAAACAUGGAUCAUACCCAUAUGCCAUAAUAGCAUAACUAAAGGCAUCAGUUAGGUGCAGUCAGCUGUUAUUGAAUCAAAGAGCCUGUUUCAAUAGAUGGCUAAUGAUUAUAACGAUCUGGUACUGCAUUAAAUUUAAACUGAUACAAGAUUCUCACAAACCGAAAAAGAGAUUUAGAUGCAAGAAGCGAGGAGAAAUAAUAUUAAGGCAUUACUAAUUUUCAUUAUUUUGAAAUGGGGUUUUUUGAUUUAGAGACUGGGGUAAGAAAACUUUUCCAUUUGCCCCCAAAAAUUCUACCAUACCUGUACCCACCAUUAAAAAUGACAACCCCUUUGGAUAUGUUAGGGACUAGCAAAUAAUGCCAUUAAUAAUCAUUACUUUAUUGUAACUUGAUUGCAUUGAAAAUAAAAAUGUCUUUUACAUCAAAGAUUUAAUGUGCCUCAAUAGCUUUGAAAAAAGCAAAUACUUUACAACA